UACGAAGGGGGCAAGCGUUGUUCGGAAUUACUGGGCGUAAAGGGCGCGUAGGCGGCCGAUCAAGUCAGGUGUGAAAUUCCCGGGCUCAACCUGGGGGCUGCGCUUGAUACUGAUUGGCUUGAAUGCGGGAGAGGAUAGUGGAAUUCCCAGUGUAGAGGUGAAAUUCGUAGAUAUUGGGAAGAACACCGGUGGCGAAGGCGGCCAUCUGGACCGUUUCUGACGCUGAGGCGCGAAAGCGUGGGGAGCAAACAGG
This 253-nucleotide ribosomal RNA is filed under the name uncultured bacterium. RNAcentral describes it as "partial 16S ribosomal RNA". It matches the Rfam family "Bacterial small subunit ribosomal RNA", at positions 524 to 776 of the family's 1533-position model. The record is from RNAcentral.